GUUUCCAUAGUUGAAGUACAACGAUGAUUUUUCAUGUCAUAGGUCAUAGUGAGAGUCUAUGUGGAAAUU
Molecule: transfer RNA, 69 nt
Filed under: Sigmodon hispidus (hispid cotton rat)
Lineage: Eukaryota; Metazoa; Chordata; Mammalia; Rodentia; Cricetidae
Description: tRNA-Glu
Rfam family: tRNA
About the family: Transfer RNA (tRNA) molecules are approximately 80 nucleotides in length.
Source: RNAcentral